AGGAUCAACGCUGGCGGCGUGCAUGAGACAUGCAAGUCGAACGGACGAUCAAAGCUUGCUUUGAUCGUUAGUGGCGGACGGCUGAGUAACGCGUAGGUGACCUGCCCCGAAGUGGGGAAUAACUGCCCGAAAGGGUGGCUAAUACCGCAUGUGGUGGUGCGUUCAAUCGCACCAGUAAAGCCGCAAGGCGCUUCGGGAGGGCCUGCGUCCGAUUAGCUCGUUGGCGAGGUAGCGGCUCACCAAGGCGACCGAUCGGUAGGUGGUCUGAGAGGACGAUCACCCAGACUGGGACUGAGACACCGGCCCAGACUCCGUACGGGAGGCAGCAGUCGGGAAUUUGCGCAAGUGGGACGAAACGCCUGACGCAGACACGCCG
This 376-nucleotide ribosomal RNA is filed under the name uncultured soil bacterium. Its description in RNAcentral is "bacterial SSU rRNA". It matches the Rfam family "Bacterial small subunit ribosomal RNA", at positions 26 to 399 of the family's 1533-position model. The record is from RNAcentral.